GGCUGGAGAAAUCAGGCGGGCUUCCUGGAGGAGGCAGGCCUUGAUGGGGGUUCCUGUGGCCAGCCACAGGAAGAGGGCAGGAAGAACAGCAAACACCCCCCCAGGUGGGCAUGCCCUGUGCUUUGGGACCAGGCUGGGGGCAGAGAAAGGCUCCCAGGGUGCUCCCAGGGCAGGCAGUGAGCUGCCCGCCAUGGGGCCCAACCUUGGAUGCGGGUCAGGUCACCUGGGAAGCUUCCCCGACCCAGACGCUCCGGCUCUCAGCGUGGGACGCCGGCCCCAGCGGUUCUGAAAGCUAUGCCCAGCACUCACGACCUGGACCAUGUCUCGCUCCAGGCUUGCAAGAUCCUGUCACUUGAAGUGGUUGGGUGGGAUAAGGUGAUGCCCACCGGACACCUGAGCACGGGGCUGGCCUGUCCACGCUGGGCCGUCUCCCCCAGCCCCCGGCCAGUCCUCGUUUCCAGGGGCUGCUGCUGUCUCGCGCGUCCCUCCCCCCAGGGCUGCAGGCCGAGCUGUGUGAGCUCUCUGUGGUUUCCCGCUGCGCCUGGAACCUGCAGAGGCCAGGACGCCGGGCAGGAGGGGGCUGUCCUGCAGAAGUGCUGGCUGCCGCUGCUGGCCAGGGCGCCAGGGCCGGAUUCCUGUCUGCAGCUUGUGGCUUGGAGCCGCGCGCGUGUGUGUGCGUGUGUGUGUUUAUGCACAUGCACAUGGGGGCCUGCGUGCAAGCCCUGUGCACGUGUGGGCAGCGCAGGUGUGGCCUCGCGUGGGCGCUCGGUGUGCAGCGUGCUGCUGUGUGCACGUGCAUCAUCCCUGGGUCACCCAGAAGCCAGGCCCACGCACGCACGCACCACUGCUGGCUCUGCCGAGCGGAUGAGCGAGCGAAUGGGUGAACGAACAAAGGGGGGCACCAGUGCGCAGGGGCAGGAACGUGAAUCGUUUCCGGUCGUCGCUGGAGAGGGCCAGCAGCCGUCGUGGUGCUGUCAGCACACGACUGUUCCCGGGCUUUCAGGAAAAUCUGAUUCUCUCUUAACCUCCUCGUGGGAGGCGAGCGGGCUCCACGUGCUCCCCCGUGCUCCACGUGCUCCCCCGUGCUCCCCCGUGCUCCACAUGCUCCCCCGUGCUCC
This 1118-nucleotide long non-coding RNA is filed under the name Oryctolagus cuniculus (rabbit). Its description in RNAcentral is "lncRNA (ENSOCUG00000037047.1)". The record is from RNAcentral. Lineage: Eukaryota; Metazoa; Chordata; Mammalia; Lagomorpha; Leporidae.